CCUACGGGAGGCAGCAGUGAGGAAUAUUGGUCAAUGGACGAGAGUCUGAACCAGCCAAGUAGCGUGAAGGAUGACUGCCCUAUGGGUUGUAAACUUCUUUUAUAUGGGAAUAAAAUGUUCCACGUGUGGGAUUUUGUAUGUACCAUAUGAAUAAGGAUCGGCUAACUCCGUGCCAGCAGCCGCGGUAAUACGGAGGAUCCGAGCGUUAUCCGGAUUUAUUGGGUUUAAAGGGAGCGUAGGUGGAUUGUUAAGUCAGUUGUGAAAGUUUGCGGCUCAACCGUAAAAUUGCAGUUGAAACUGGCAGUCUGGAGUACAGUAGAGGUGGGCGGAAUUCGUGGUGUAGCGGUGAAAUGCUUAGAUAUCACGAAGAACUUCGAUUGCGAAGGCAGCUCACUGGACUGCAACUGACACUGAGGCUCGAAAGUGUGGGUAUCAAACAGGAUUAGAUACCCGAGUAGUC
This 460-nucleotide ribosomal RNA is filed under the name uncultured bacterium. RNAcentral describes it as "partial 16S ribosomal RNA". It matches the Rfam family "Bacterial small subunit ribosomal RNA", at positions 338 to 795 of the family's 1533-position model. The record is from RNAcentral.